AUGUUGCUUGCUGCUGAAUCAGAGGAUCCUUUAUUUGGUUCACCACACACAAAGCACUAUCCUGUUGGGGCUGAGAAUGAGACAUUUAUGGUAACUGGGCGGAACACAAGGUUGAGCGAGCUAGUUGGCAUGGACAAUCCAAAAUCAAGCAACUACAUUGAACAAGAUGAUCCUAGCAACUGGAACAACAACCAGACAGAUUUCCAGGAGGCUGAUUUGGCAUUGCAAACUGUGACAUGGGAUGAUGGCAUCCCAGCUCCUGGAGCUGAGCUCUUGCAGGCUCUAGGAAUUUGUCCUGGAGACAAUCAUAAUGAAGACGGUUCAUGGAGUGAAGACUCAGACACCGAUCCAAGUGCAUUUAACAAAGUGCUAGUUGAUGCUGAAGAAGAUGCUAAUCAGGUAGUUGCUGCACAUGGUGAUCAACAUGGUGAUAAUGAAGCUGUGGACAAUGACGUUGACCGUUGA
Molecule: ribosomal RNA, 465 nt
Filed under: Triticum aestivum (bread wheat)
Lineage: Eukaryota; Viridiplantae; Streptophyta; Magnoliopsida; Poales; Poaceae
Description: partial small subunit ribosomal RNA
Source: RNAcentral